Molecule: long non-coding RNA, 4058 nt
Filed under: Sus scrofa (pig)
Lineage: Eukaryota; Metazoa; Chordata; Mammalia; Artiodactyla; Suidae
Description: lncRNA (ENSSSCG00040072080.1)
Source: RNAcentral
UGUUGUUGUUGUUGUUGCUAUUGUUGCUAUUUCUUGGGCCGCUCCCGCGGCAUAUGGAGGUUCCCAGGCUAGGGGUCGAAUCGGAGCUGUAGCCACUGGCCUACGCCAGAGCCACAGCAACGCGGGAUCCGAGCCGCGUCUGCGACCUACACCACAGCUCACGGCAACGCCGGAUCGUUAACCCACUGAGCAAGGGCAGGGACCGAACCCGCGACCUCAUGGUUCCCAGUCGGAUUCGCUAACCACUGCGCCACAACGGGAACUCCUGUUUUUUGCUUUUUAGGGCCACGCCCAUGUCAUAUGAAAGUUCCUAGGUUAGGGGUUGAAUCGGAGCUACAGCUUCUGGCCUAUACCACAGCCACAGCAAUGCCAGAUCUGAGCCAUGCCUACAACCUACACCACAGCUCACAGCAACAUGGGAUCCUUAACCCACUGAGCAAGGGCAGGAAUCGAACCCGCAUCCUCACGGAUACUAUUUGGGUUCAUUUCUGCUGUGCCACAGUGGGAACUCCAGGAACGCUGUGUUCUUAACAAGAACAGUGUCCCAGUUUAAGAGAGCUAGAAGCACAGAAUGAAUUGCCUCUGAGUUUCUCCCAUCUUCUUUCAUUAUUAUUUUGAAUAAACACACAUGUUUCUAGGAAUUGAAGAGACUCUUCAAAAUAAAUAGCAUGAGAAUUUUUAACCAACCAGAUCCUUCCUUUUUCACACUUUUCAAGUAGCAGGAUGGGAAGGAAUAGCCCAUCUUUUGCCAUUGGAGGGACCAGUUGUCCUUUAAGGCUCCGUUGUCAUAGAGACCUAGUGUCUGUGGCCCCAGUUGCCCACACCCUCCUCUAGGUGGCCUAAGUGCUAGAGGACCCCUCAGAGAGGGAAACCCCCUAACGUGUACCCUUGCAACAUGAUGCUAAUGCAGAUGUGACCGAACCAAGUUCAUUUGCCCAACAUGCCCCAAGCUGGAUGGAGUAAACUUCUCUGUUUACAGCAGAGAAGGGGUUGACUCAUGAGGCAGCCAAACAAAGAAAUGGGAGAACAAGUCUCAGAUCUUCCUCCCUAAGGCAAGGAGAGGCUUGGGAUAUUUAUGGAUGAAGAUAUAAGGAGUUAUGUGCUUUUCCAUGGGACACAUGUGCAGAAAAUGGCAGCAUUCGCAUGAUCUGAGGAUGGAGUUUUUGACCCUUUGACCUUAAAAAGGCACCCAACAGACACCCACGCAUGCUCUGUUGGGGGUGGGUGAGUGGUCCUGGCCAGUCUUUAUUGGCUUGGGCUCGAACUGGACAGCAGCUGUCUCCAAGUUCCAGAAAAACAGCUUAAUCAACCAUUACCAUAGUGAUCCAUCAUCAUAGGUGUUAUAGCUAUAGGGGGCAGUUAAAGGAGCCUUGUGAUAUAUUGCCUAAGCUACAGGAAAGCUUGGAGGGUAUGCAAUUUGCAAGAACAAUUAGUCAGUGAAGGCAGGUUACAGGAUAUUAUUUGUUAAGCAAGCCAUAGUUUAAGGGAUCUGACUCACGAUUGCCCUCAGUUUCACAGGUAGAAAUUAUACUGCCUGUUCUCAUUUAGUUUUCAAGUGAAUCAUUCUUUAUGGUAACCCUACAGGUUGCUGUGGGUUGGUUUGUCUUAUUAAUUUUUCCUUGGCUUUCACUCACCCAGAAUUCCUCAUUAUUGACCCAGAACUCCCACAUUUACUGGUAACCUUAUUAGACUCGGCAUUUCAUAAUCCACCAUGGUAACGCUUUGUUCAAUUUGCUGCCACACUUAAACCCGACCAAAAUUGCUUGGACAAGAAGCUCUGUAAGAACACUGAUUGCAUUUAUUCCUUUCCUGGGGCAAAACGCUUCCAUUUCCUCUAAGACCAUACCGUUCACUGCAAAACCAGGUCUGUUUCCUGCCAAAGCUCCCCCAGAUGCUGACCACUAUUGUCAGUUGGUAGGGGUCUCUGAUGACAGUACGUGCUCUGGCAGAGCCAGCCAUACACAUGGCAGGAUCACAUGGCCUCUGCCUGGUAGGAUUCAAGGACAGGGAGAGGCCCCUGUGCAGAAGGCCCUCCCAGGCCACCUGAGCCCUGCUGUUUGAAACCUUACCACGAGUGAGUCACAUCUUUAGGCAUGGCCUUUUGGAAAAAUCUUCUUCAAAGAGGAAUUGCAUUUCAGUCAGUUAGUGGUUAAGAGGGUGGGAGGGGGCACUGCAAAAAGAGGCAAAGAGGAAGAGUUGAAAUAAAGGUGGUAACGUGAAAUUUUAUGCGUGGAGGGUUUUAUUAAGGAUUGUAUUGCAACACUGGGCUAAACAGAGCAGGUAACACUUACGACAGAGUGACUCCAGUAUGGCUCAGACCUACAGGCAUAUGCUUAAUGAGGUCUUAUUAUUUAUUAUUUAUUUGUAGGAAAGCUUAAUAAGUAAGGGAAAGUUCAACUUGAUUUGUAAUUGACCCACCAAUUCAAUGUAAAUUAUGGGGUAUGGCAAGUAGCCAGAGUUGUAGAAAUGAUAGAACUGCCAUACAGUAAUAUCUAGUUGUACCUUGCAUAGGCAUGGGAAUGUAUGGAUCUAACGUGCGAAGCAAAAAGUAGCCUUUAAAUGUUGUUCAUCUUCAGAAACACUUUGUUACAAACAGCACCACCACCUACUAUUUGGACAGUUGGGUUUUGGUCCCUACAUUUAAUCUCUUCAUCACCAUCUCAGAAGCCAGAGAGGAGAAGGCAAGGAAUCUCAGCCAGUCUGUUUUAAGAAGCUCUGGACCCCUGUUACAGGGAUACUUCUAAUCAAUAAGUGCUAUGGGAGAAAAUUUCCUAUAAAUAAAUCACUCGAUCGAUGUAUCCUGAGGCGUGGCAAAAUUGCCUCAGUCCUCAGCUUCUAGUUGUUCCAGCCAAUUUGAUGGCAGACAAAUGCCAUGUGAGGCCAUCCUCUCCUCUGGCUUCUUCCCUAUUUCUUUCCCUCUGAUGUCAGUCAUUCCCUCCUACCUCCCAUACAGCAGAGUGUGCACUUGAACCCUGACCUGUUUGCCUUCUUUUCCAUCCCCCUCUCGCCUUCCCCAAGAGCCAGGGCAGGUGACUAAGAGCUGAUUCAGAAGGACCUGCCCUCACUUACUUCCCUUUAUUGAUCGAUGCACUUUAAUAGCAACUCAUCUACAGCAAAUGAUGACCUCAUAGGGUAUUUGUGGAAUGAAAGGAUUUUCCAUUCCACUGUCCACUUUGCCAAAAAGCCACUGCAGACUUGAAAAGCAGAAGGGAAAUCCUGGGGGAGGGCAAACCAAAUUUGGAACUUUCACCGAGCCUAUUGCUUUGUCGGAAGGCAAGUCUGCUUUAGUCUUGAACACUUAUUUGGGAGAGGAGAGAGGUGCCAUAAUAGGCACGGGCACAGAAAGGACCAGCAGUGAGCCUCUGACACUGCCCAACUUAGGGAGAAUCUACAACUUGGCUGAUCUGAGGGUAGAAGGAAUUUUUCAGUCCUUCUUGAACGUUUGAUACCCUUAAAAAAAAGCCUCUGCUGGCAGUCCGCUCCCUGCAAGCUUUCUUUUCUGGUUGCUUACAGUCAAUUUGUCAAUGAGUUCUUCCCCUUAGGACCAACAUUUCCAAGUCACAUCUUUAAUAUCUUCUUGCAUGCAUCUAUUGGAAGACGCUUUACUCUUGGAAGCCUUUUUCUUUUAGAACCAGAACUGCCCUGAUGUAGCACCGUGGAACCCUCCUUUAACCCUCCCAUGUGCUGACUCUGAUUGUGUAGUUUCUGAUAGUAAGUGUCCCUGAAAUGCCCCCCUUGGCUAAUGGAAGCAUCACUGCACUGCGGUCACAGUCCCUGUUCAGAAGACCCUGGUGUUAACCCAAUUGGAACCUGACGGAUAUCUGGAGGAUAAAAGAGAAAUGGUGCUGAGUAGUCAAGAGAAUCUGUCCAGACCCCCAGCCACAAGGAGAAAAGGAAGGAGGGUGGGAGGGCAGCGAACUAAUCUUCAUUCUUCCAGCAGAGAUACAGAGGCUGGGAACAUCUCAUCCAUGACAACCAAACCGAGGCUCACUCCCUUUUACACUCCUUUCCAUAAGGCACUUAGAGAAGCAAAACAAAAACAAAAACAAAACUCAAGU